This is a long non-coding RNA of Hemicordylus capensis (graceful crag lizard), 3851 nucleotides long. RefSeq lists it as uncharacterized. The record is from RefSeq and is a predicted model, not a curated record. The transcript is spliced from 2 exons. Lineage: Eukaryota; Metazoa; Chordata; Lepidosauria; Squamata; Cordylidae.
CUGCAUUGCAACUAAAGAGCGCAGCUUGUUCUUGGGAAACGGAAAUUAGGUUUGCGCCCUGGCGCUUGUUUUGAAUGCCAGGCUUAGCUCUAAAAUACGUGAAGAGAAGAAUUAAAACAUUCUAUUCUACAGUGUUCUGAGGUGGUGCAGUCCAAAGAGGACUGUACCAUGGGCUUUUUCUAUCCAUCUGCUUGCCGAGGUCAUCUGGGGGCCGCUUGAUGAGGUCGUCUGAGAGGGCUCUGCUCCGGGUGCCGACAAUGAGGGAGGCUCGGCUGUCGUGCACGUGGGACAGGGCCUUCUCUGUUGCUGCCCCCAGACUCUGGAAUGCUCUCCCGGUGGCCAUUUGUUCCUCGGACUCCAUCAUGGCUUUUAGAAAGCUUUUAAAGACUUGGCUUUUUACCCAGGCUUGUAUAUGAUUGCCUAUAUUGCUGCUUCUUUGUAUUUUGUACAGUUCUUACGCUUGCAUUUUAAAUCUUUAAAGUCAGAUUUGUUUUAUAUUUUAGCUUAAUAUUUUAAUUGUGUCAUUUUUAUAGUCGUGUGUUUAAUUUUUGUGUGAACCGCCUUGGGAUUGUUUUAAUGAAAGGUGGUAUACAAAUGUAACAAUAAAUAAAAUAAAAAAUCUGAGUAAGACAGAAGCUGGAAAGCUUGGCCUGCCUACUGAGUGAUGCCAUCUCCCUUCCCAGGCGUGCCCACACACAUUGCCAAACUCACAGCAAAAAGAGAUGAGCAGCAUAUAACAAGGGGACAUGACUACAGGGCAUUUGGCAUGGAUAAAUUAGCCAUUUUUGGCUGCUCUUUAUCUGAAAACUCCUUGUAUUUUGAGCCCACUUCUGGUCUGAAGGGUGCUGAAAUGAGUUUGCUCAUCUUGAAGCUGGAGAACGAGGGGCAGAAGAGCUGGAAUGUAGUUUGACAAUCUAGAUCAGGGUUGGGUAUACUUAAGGCUUCCAAGAGUUACAUAUAUAUUUUUUUGGCCAGAGCCUUGGAAGCUACCAACAUGAAAUGGUGAGGAGUUAGAGCUAGUCACAAAAUGGCAGCUUGCGGAAAAAUUUGCAUCGACAGAAUAAGGGAUUUUAACAUCGGAUCCCCUGAAUUCCAGGAUAAUUUUGCUGCAGUGGAGCAAGAGAGGUUGCUUUGCUGAGAAAACUGAAAGGAAAUGAAUAGGAAAGUGAAAGCUAUCCUGAGCACCCAAAGAAACAGAUUAAAAAUGGUGCAGUCAUGCCCCCAGCCAAUGAAAUCUGAAAUAUUGGCUGGAAGGGAGACGAGGGAAAGCAAGCCCCAAAGCCUAGAGAGCUACUUAUAUGCCCAGAAGCUCCUGAGCUAUCCAGUGCCCACUUUUUGAUUUGCCUGACUGAUUUGGAUUUGGAGAAAUCUUCCUGAGAUUGCCCUGGGCCUACUACUGACUGCCUGUGGUCCUGCUUCCUCCCCAACCAUCAUGCCUCCUCAGUCUGUAUGGUUGUGAGGAAUCAGAUCAUUGCAAACACAUCCCAAGUCUCCAGUGCUUUUUUUCCUCCAAAGAAAACUUACUCUUUGGAGGCUAAAGUUUUCAUUGCUCGGAGAUGGGGGAUCAGAAAACAGCAUCAAGAAAUGAGUGAUGGUUCGAGAAGCAGUGGCUGGCUGUUAGUCAUAAAUGAGUUUUUGUUUUGUUUUCUAUUAUUUAAAGAGCAACUUUGCUUUCCAGGGCUAAAUGUAAUUUCCUCGACCAAGAAAUUGCUAGACGGCUUGGCCAUAAACUAAAUAUUACUGUUCCCCAGUAUUGUGGUCCCUGCCAACACGAACGACCUGACCUAAAUAAUACAAGAAAUUGGACAGGCGUGCAUCGUAAGAUAUGAAAUACACCUCUGAGGUUUUUCUCAUCAGCAUAGGGCAGUUAAAAGAAAUGAGGAAUUUCCUGUACUCGGGUAAAUUGUUGCAUUCAUUCAUGCGUCAUAGCCUUUAUCAUGGUUUGGCAAAUAUAGCCUUUACUGGGCCAGUAUAUGAUCUGUUUAGACACAUCAGUGCAGAGUGAGCUUCACUGAGUGCUGGGCCAAGGGGCAUAAACUUUUUAUGUGGGCUGAUGCUGGGCCUGCAAAAACAAAAACUGAAAGUGACUCUGUAACUGCAAAGAAAUGGGGAGGGGAGGAAUUAGACAUUUUGGUGCGCUAUCAGGGACUGAUUAAUUGAUUGCAAUCUCAAUUUUUGCAAAAUGUUCCAGCAAUAGCUAUCUCCAGAGCAAACAUAACCACCAGCCCACCACUGAGCUCUUAGGGAGGUCACAUGAUUGAUUGAUUAAGUGCCCUCAGGUCGGUAUCGACUCUUAGCAAACAGAUAGAUUCUCACCAGGAUGAUCUGUCUUCAACUUGGCCUUUAAAGUCUCUCAGUGGUGCAUUCACUGCUGUCGUAAUUGAGUCCAUCCACCUUGCUGCUGGUCGUCCUUUUCUUCUCUGUCCUUCAACUUUCUCCAGCAUUAUAAGACUUCUCAAGGGGGCUGGGUCUUCGCAUAAUGUGUCUGAAGUAUGAUAGUUUGAGCCUGGUCAUUUGUGCAGCGAGUGAAAAUUUUGGAUUGAUUUGUUCUAGGAUCCAUUUGUUUGUUUUCCUGGCUCUCCAUGGUAUCCUCAAAAGUUUUCUCCAGCACCAAAGUUCAAAAGCGUCAAUGCUUUUUCUAUCUUGCUUCUUCAAAGUCCAGCUUUUGCAUCCAUAGAGUGUCAUGGGGAAAACUAUGAUCCGAACUAUUCUAAUCUUUGUAGGUAUAGACACCCCCACCCCAAGUCCUGCUAUGCUGCCUCAUUGUGGCGGUGUGUGUGUGUGUAUUCCUGGGAGGGAUGUGCGAAGUACGCCGGGAGGUCUACUCCCAGCAGGGUCAUCCAAAGUGCGAAGGUCAUCCCAGCUGCCCAGCUAAAGCAAGCAGGCACCUAUACUGGGCAGCAGCAAUAUAGAAAGUUGCUGGAGGCGGACAAUCAAUUCAGUGACAACAACAAAGGCAUCAUUUCAUACUGUGUGGGAGAAGGCAAUGGUAAACCACUCCAGUAUUUUACCAAGAAAACCACAUGGAUAGACAAAAUAGGGAGGUCACAUAAAUACUCCUAAAACAGAUGAAUAUAUGAAGCAAUCUUAUCUUUAGUCAUACUCUUGAUCCAUGUAGCUCAGUCUUGUCUACACGAGGGGUUCUCAACAGGAAUGACUCAUAGGGGUGUCAAGGGGUAGUGGCUGCUCCCCAGAAAAUAUCCUCAGCUCCCCCUUUCGCUCUCCCUCCCAGCAGGCUAUAACUUGACACCAAAGUGUCAGGUAAUGCUAUCAUAGUAUACUGUAUUAUGGUCCUUUUGCAUGAAUUAAUCAUUUUAAAGGUCUCUGUUGUUUAAAGAAUCCUCAUUCACUCACUCCGCUACCCCAGAACAAGCAACUGAAGCCAGUGCAGCCAGGUAGGUAGGAGACUCCUCCAGCCUCCCAGGAGCCAGGCCAAGCCAUCAUGAUGUAUAGUAAAUCAGAAAUGCAUAGAAGUUCACAGCUUGACAUAAGCAACGCCAUUAUGUUUAACUAAACUCAAGGAUCUGCUCUGCUAGAAGGAUGCUUACUACUGUGUAUUCUCUCUAGUAGUUUUCCAUCCCCCAUAGGUUAGAGUGACCGUGGGAUUUAGAAUGUAGAACAAUUUUGAGAUAAGGCUGUCUGUCUGCCUGCGUGCAUGUUUGUGGUUUAGUCCCUAAUCUUAGCAAGUCAUGAUGACGUAUUUGCUAUGUAGCUGAACAACAUGUUAUUCUGGAGAACAAUUUUAAGAGUAUAAAAUGUAUGCUCUCUGUAAUAGUCCUUUGUCUUGUUUUGAGCAUGAGCCAAACAAUACCAUUACUACUUGAGAGUAAAUAAACCUUUGAUCUUGUUAA